ACCUGGGUGGCUCAGCUGGUUAAGCGUCUGACUUCGGCUCAGGUCAUGAUCUCACUGUUUGUGGGUUCGAGCCCCGCAUCAGGCU
This 85-nucleotide transfer RNA is filed under the name Felis catus (domestic cat). It matches the Rfam family "tRNA". From Rfam's summary of the family: Transfer RNA (tRNA) molecules are approximately 80 nucleotides in length. Their secondary structure includes four short double-helical elements and three loops (D, anti-codon, and T loops). Lineage: Eukaryota; Metazoa; Chordata; Mammalia; Carnivora; Felidae. RNAcentral also lists the same sequence under 1 other name. The record is from Rfam by way of RNAcentral.